AGCCCUAUGCCCUAGUCUCUGAUGUUCUCAAAUAUCUCAGUGACUUGAGCAAAGGGACAUC
RNAcentral lists this microRNA precursor (61 nucleotides) under Euprymna scolopes. RNAcentral's name for it is "Esc-Novel-68_pre stem-loop". The record is from RNAcentral. Lineage: Eukaryota; Metazoa; Mollusca; Cephalopoda; Sepiida; Sepiolidae.